RNAcentral lists this ribosomal RNA (713 nucleotides) under uncultured bacterium. RNAcentral describes it as "bacterial SSU rRNA". It matches the Rfam family "Bacterial small subunit ribosomal RNA", at positions 777 to 1500 of the family's 1533-position model. The record is from RNAcentral.
AUUAGAUACCCUGGUAGUCCACGCAGUAAACGAUGAAUACUAAUUGUCCGGGCAGAGAGAUGCCUGGGUGAUACAGCGAAAGCGUUAAGCAUUCCACCUGGGGAGUACGCCGGCAACGGUGAAACUCAAAGGAAUUGACGGGGGCCCGCACAAGCGGAGGAACAUGUGGCUUAAUUCGAUGAUACGCGAGGAACCUUACCCGGGCUCAAACGCCGUCUGACGUAGGCUGAAAGGCUUAUUUCUUCGGACAGACGGCGAGGUGCUGCAUGGUUGUCGUCAGCUCGUGCCGUGAGGUGUCGGCUUAAGUGCCAUAACGAGCGCAACCCCUGUCGACAGUUGCUAACAGGUUAAGCUGAGGACUCUGUCGAGACUGCCGGCGCAAGCUGUGAGGAAGGCGGGGAUGACGUCAAAUCAGCACGGCCCUUACGUCCGGGGCGACACACGUGUUACAAUGGCAGGUACAGCGGGAAGCCACCCGGCGACGGGGCGCGGAACCCGAAAACCUGUCUCAGUUCGGAUUGGAGUCUGCAACCCGACUCCAUGAAGCUGGAUUCGCUAGUAAUCGCGCAUCAGCCACGGCGCGGUGAAUACGUUCCCGGGCCUUGUACACACCGCCCGUCAAGCCAUGGAAGCCGGGGGUACCUGAAGUACGUGACCGCAAGGAGCGUCCUAAGGUAAAACCGGUGACUGGGGCUAAGUCGUAACAAGGUAAC